This 253-nucleotide ribosomal RNA is filed under the name uncultured bacterium. RNAcentral's name for it is "partial 16S ribosomal RNA". It matches the Rfam family "Bacterial small subunit ribosomal RNA", at positions 524 to 776 of the family's 1533-position model. The record is from RNAcentral.
UACGGAGGGUGCAAGCGUUAUCCGGAUUUACUGGGUUUAAAGGGUGCGUAGGUGGGUUUGUAAGUCAGUGGUGAAAUCUCCGAGCUUAACUCGGAAACUGCCAUUGAUACUAUAGAUCUUGAAUUAUCUGGAGGUAAGCGGAAUAUGUCAUGUAGCGGUGAAAUGCUUAGAUAUGACAUAGAACACCAAUUGCGAAGGCAGCUUACUACGGAUAUAUUGACGCUGAGGCACGAAAGCGUGGGGAGCGAACAGG